CAGAAACAGAACUGCCAAGGUGGGUUCCCACUGACCUGGUGCACCCUCCAGGCCACGCGGGCCAGAUCUGAGACCGGAGACAGAUCCAUCACUGCUGGAGUCUGGAGAUGAUGGAAGAGGCAUGUGACACCAGCUGUUCACCUUCCUCACCGGAGCCUUUUGUGCGGCCUGACAGGCUGUCAACUCCAGGCAGGGGACGAUUGUAGAAGAUGGCACGCGUUACCUUGAGGUGACACCACAUUCCACCAAAGGCCUGAGUUCAGUAACUUGUCUUGAGCUAACAAUAACUUUGAACAGCUUUGCAGCACAGCGUUUAAAGCUUGCUUUGGCUCUGUGAUAUCCGCUUGGCAUUGCUGCUUUUGUCUAACACGUAAUCUGAACAAAACUCAAAUGAAUCUUUCAGAUGAAUGAAACCUUGUGUUGAGUCAGACUCCCUCCAGUUAUUUUUCUUGUCUUAUCUCCUUCGCAGGCGUGAGAGGUGAUUUUUGGCCAUCAUCAGGGUUGAGGGCAGGACAGGAAGACCUUUACAGUGACACAACUCAAAAAUAGACGCCCACCCAUGUACAGCGCACGCAAACUGACUGUAAAGCAUGCGUCAUCCUAAGAACAAGCAGAAACUCCAUUUUGUACUUUUUGUGUAAAAGUUCAAUGUGAAACUCGUGGAACAAAAACACAUUAAUUGUAAUUCAAAAUACAUCUUAUAAAUUACAAAUUAGCAAUAAAAUAAUUCUUAUUUCAUUACACAAACACAUUUUUGUCUUAGAGUGUACUUUGUUAAUAAGCUUCUCUUAGCUUAGUCCUGGGAUUUGUCCAUUAAACCAGUUUGUGUUUUUAAUAUCACUACAUGCAUAAUUAUAAGGAGAAAAUUAAAAAGCACCACAAAAACUGAUAUUCAACAUUAGGUCAACGGGUUUUGUUUUUUUUUUUUAAUUUAGCCAUUCAAAUGAUCCGAUUUGUUCACACAUACUGCCCUCUAGCGUUGAAACAACAACACUGCCAUCAUCUCCCUAAACACCAGCAGCAUCUCAUAUGAGUUAUUUAGACAAUAACUUCUUCUCUUCUGUAACUGAACUGCAGACUUUCAGGUUUAAUUAAAGAGUUAAAAAAAAAAAAAAAAAAAAGUAUUGAACGAACUAUUUUAGAAUUGCAGACAUUUUUACACACAGGCCCCAAUUUUCAGAGGCUAAAAUGUACAUAUGUUUGAAACAUUUGGUUGUGUUUAAUACUUGGACGAACAACCUUUCUGCAUUCAGUUUUGCAUUUAAUAACUGAAAACACGUUGUGGUGGGCAGAGAUCCCAUUUUUGCCUUAAGUAAUUCUUGGUUUGCUUUUGAAGUUUGCUUCAUUAUACAGUUGCACUGUGAAGCUCUAUCCAACUGGUUUUGCAGCAUUUUGCUGCAUCUGAGCAGAGAGUAUAGCCCCAAACACUUCACAGUUCACCCUGCCAGAACUGCUUGACCUGAGAAGCACCUGAUAUAGCUACCGUUUGCUUGAAGGCGCACAGACAACCCUGACUUUACCCCAUUUCUUACUGGGGUUUCAGAUGUUGAGCCUUCCAACACAAAGAAAAUCUGCCUUUUUGUACCCACUUUGUAAUAUACCACUCUGGAAAACUGUAACUUAAUGGCUGAGCAAACACAGAAGACCCGUUUCUUCAGACUUAAUAGUAAGAAACACUAAACUGCACUCAAGUAUUAUCCCCAAUACUCAGGGGUCAUUUCACACACAGUACAAGACUAAAAUGUUAAUAAAUAUUCUACCUACUUGAAUAACUUCAUUCAAACUUUUAAUUAUCAAGUCUCACAAAUGGAACUGUAAUAUUACUUUUUAUUGUCACUCACAGAAAUGCAAGCAUUGCCUUGUUCUAAGAGGUGACUAAGUAAAUGCAAGUAUAUAGACAAACAGGGGUUUUCCUGAAAUUUAGAUUUCUACUGGCUCUAAAAAUCACUAAACGCUAUGAGCACAAAUCAAACAAAAAUAAAACCAUACAGUAGCUUCCAGAAGAAGAGUGCAUCCCUGUAUUGUAUUCAUGCAGCACCUGGAUGAUAAAAACACCUGUGACCAUCUAAAAUCAGAUAAUCUAUAUGCAGUUUUAUAACAACA
Molecule: long non-coding RNA, 2103 nt
Organism: Oreochromis niloticus (Nile tilapia)
Lineage: Eukaryota; Metazoa; Chordata; Actinopteri; Cichliformes; Cichlidae
Exons: 2
Source: RefSeq, a predicted model, not a curated record